UACGUAGGGCGCAAGCGUUAUCCGGAAUUAUUGGGCGUAAAGAGCUCGUAGGCGGUUUGUCGCGUCUGCCGUGAAAGUCCGGGGCUCAACUCCGGAUCUGCGGUGGGUACGGGCAGACUAGAGUGCGGUAGGGGAGAUUGGAAUUCCUGGUGUAGCGGUGGAAUGCGCAGAUAUCAGGAGGAACACCGGUGGCGAAGGCGGGUCUCUGGGCCGAUACUGACGCUGAGGAGCGAAAGCGUGGGGAGCGAACAGG
RNAcentral lists this ribosomal RNA (253 nucleotides) under uncultured bacterium. Its description in RNAcentral is "partial 16S ribosomal RNA". It matches the Rfam family "Bacterial small subunit ribosomal RNA", at positions 524 to 776 of the family's 1533-position model. The record is from RNAcentral.